GAUGAACGCUGGCGGCGUGCCUAAUACAUGCAAGUCGAGCGAACGGACGAGAAGCUUGCUUCUCUGAUGUUAGCGGCGGACGGGUGAGUAACACGUGGAUAACCUACCUAUAAGACUGGGAUAACUUCGGGAAACCGGAGCUAAUACCGGAUAAUAUUUUGAACCGCAUGGUUCAAAAGUGAAAGACGGUCUUGCUGUCACUUAUAGAUGGAUCCGCGCUGCAUUAGCUAGUUGGUAAGGUAACGGCUUACCAAGGCAACGAUGCAUAGCCGACCUGAGAGGGUGAUCGGCCACACUGGAACUGAGACACGGUCCAGACUCCUACGGGAGGCAGCAGUAGGGAAUCUUCCGCAAUGGGCGAAAGCCUGACGGAGCAACGCCGCGUGAGUGAUGAAGGUCUUCGGAUCGUAAAACUCUGUUAUUAGGGAAGAACAUAUGUGUAAGUAACUGUGCACAUCUUGACGGUACCUAAUCAGAAAGCCACGGCUAACUACGUGCCAGCAGCCGCGGUAAUACGUAGGUGGCAAGCGUUAUCCGGAAUUAUUGGGCGUAAAGCGCGCGUAGGCGGUUUUUUAAGUCUGAUGUGAAAGCCCACGGCUCAACCGUGGAGGGUCAUUGGAAACUGGAAAACUUGAGUGCAGAAGAGGAAAGUGGAAUUCCAUGUGUAGCGGUGAAAUGCGCAGAGAUAUGGAGGAACACCAGUGGCGAAGGCGACUUUCUGGUCUGUAACUGACGCUGAUGUGCGAAAGCGUGGGGAUCAAACAGGAUUAGAUACCCUGGUAGUCCACGCCGUAAACGAUGAGUGCUAAGUGUUAGGGGGUUUCCGCCCCUUAGUGCUGCAGCUAACGCAUUAAGCACUCCGCCUGGGGAGUACGACCGCAAGGUUGAAACUCAAAGGAAUUGACGGGGACCCGCACAAGCGGUGGAACAUGUGGUUUAAUUCGAAGCAACGCGAAGAACCUUACCAAAUCUUGACAUCCUUUGACAACUCUAGAGAUAGAGCCUUCCCCUUCGGGGGACAAAGUGACAGGUGGUGCAUGGUUGUCGUCAGCUCGUGUCGUGAGAUGUUGGGUUAAGUCCCGCAACGAGCGCAACCCUUAAGCUUAGUUGCCAUCAUUAAGUUGGGCACUCUAAGUUGACUGCCGGUGACAAACCGGAGGAAGGUGGGGAUGACGUCAAAUCAUCAUGCCCCUUAUGAUUUGGGCUACACACGUGCUACAAUGGACAAUACAAAGGGCAGCGAAACCGCGAGGUCAAGCAAAUCCCAUAAAGUUGUUCUCAGUUCGGAUUGUAGUCUGCAACUCGACUACAUGAAGCUGGAAUCGCUAGUAAUCGUAGAUCAGCAUGCUACGGUGAAUACGUUCCCGGGUCU
This 1372-nucleotide ribosomal RNA is filed under the name uncultured bacterium. RNAcentral describes it as "bacterial SSU rRNA". It matches the Rfam family "Bacterial small subunit ribosomal RNA", at positions 28 to 1381 of the family's 1533-position model. The record is from RNAcentral.